UGCAGUCGAACGGUGAAGCUCAAGCUUGCUUGGGUGGAUCAGUGGCGAACGGGUGAGUAACACGUGAGCAACCUGCCCCGGACUCUGGAAUAAGCGCUGGAAACGGCGUCUAAUACUGGAUAUGACACCAAUCCGCAUGGGUAUGGUGUGGAAAGUUUUUCGGUCUGGGAUGGGCUCGCGGCCUAUCAGCUUGUUGGUGAGGUAAUGGCUCACCAAGGCGACGACGGGUAGCCGGCCUGAGAGGGCGACCGGCCACACUGGGACUGAGACAMRRCCCAGACUCCUACGGGAGGCAGCAGUGGGGAAUAUUGCACAAUGGGCGAAAGCCUGAUGCAGCGACGCCGCGUGAGGGAUGACGGCCUUCGGGUUGUAAACCUCUUUCAGCAGGGAAGAAGCGAAAGUGACGGUACCUGCAGAAGAAGCACCGGCUAACUACGUGCCAGCAGCCGCGGUAAUACGUAGGGUGCGAGCGUUGUCCGGAAUUAUUGGGCGUAAAGAGCUUGUAGGCGGUUUGUCGCGUCUGCUGUGAAAAUCCGGGGCUCAACCCCGGACUUGCAGUGGGUACGGGCAGACUAGAGUGUGGUAGGGGAGACUGGAAUUCCUGGUGUAGCGGUGAAAUGCGCAGAUAUCAGGAGGAACACCGAUGGCGAAGGCAGGUCUCUGGGCCACUACUGACGCUGAGAAGCGAAAGCAUGGGGAGCGAACAGGAUUAGAUACCCUGGUAGUCCAUGCCGUAAACGUUGGGCGCUAGGUGUGGGACUCAUUCCACGAGUUCCGKGCCGCAGCUAACGCAUUAAGCSCCCCGCCUGGGGAGUACGGCCGCAAGGCUWAAACUCAANGGAAUUGACGGGGGCCC
RNAcentral lists this ribosomal RNA (856 nucleotides) under bacterium GD88SAN50%. RNAcentral describes it as "bacterial SSU rRNA". It matches the Rfam family "Bacterial small subunit ribosomal RNA", at positions 56 to 922 of the family's 1533-position model. The record is from RNAcentral.